RNAcentral lists this ribosomal RNA (247 nucleotides) under uncultured bacterium. RNAcentral's name for it is "partial 16S ribosomal RNA". It matches the Rfam family "Bacterial small subunit ribosomal RNA", at positions 523 to 769 of the family's 1533-position model. The record is from RNAcentral.
AUACGGAGGGUCCGAGCGUUAUCCGGAUUUAUUGGGUUUAAAGGGUGCGCAGGCGGAAGAUUAAGUCGGCGGUGAAAUUUUGCAGCUCAACUGUAAAAGUGCCUUCGAAACUGGUUUUCUUGAGUGUAGAUGAAGUAGGCGGAAUUUGUGGUGUAGCGGUGAAAUGCUUAGAGAUCACACAGAAUAUCGAUUGCGAAGGCAGCUCACAAAGCCAUUAUUGACGCUGAGGCACGAAAGUGUGGGGAUC